Molecule: ribosomal RNA, 466 nt
Filed under: uncultured bacterium
Lineage: Bacteria
Description: bacterial SSU rRNA
Rfam family: Bacterial small subunit ribosomal RNA
Source: RNAcentral
GGACGAACGCUGGCGGCGUGCUUAACACAUGCAAGUCGAGCGAUGAAGUUUCCUUCGGGAAAUGGAUUAGCGGCGACGGGUGAGUAACACGUGGGUAACCUGCCUCAUAGAGGGGAAUAGCCUUUCGAAAGGAAGAUUAAUACCGCAUAAGAUUGUAGUACCGCAUGGUACAGCAAUUAAAGGAGCAAUCCGCUAUGAGAUGGACCCGCGUCUGAUUAGCUAGUUGGUGGGGUAACGGCCCACCAAGGCGACGAUCAGUAGCCGACCUGAGAGGGUGACCGGCCACAUUGGGACUGAGACACGGCCCAAACUCCUACGGGAGGCAGCAGUGGGGAAUAUUGCACAAUGGGGGAAACCCUGACCCAGCAACGCCGCGUGGAGGAAGAAGGUUUUCGGAUCGUAAACUCCUGUCCUCAGGGAAGAGCAGAAGACGGUACCUGAGGAGGAAGCCCCGGCUAACUACGUG